UACGGAGGGGGCUAGCGUUGUUCGGAAUUACUGGGCGUAAAGGGCGCGUAGGCGGUGCGGUAAGUUAGGCGUGAAAGGCCCGGGCUCAACCCGGGAAUUGCGCUUAAGACUGCCGCGCUGUGAGUCCGGGAGAGGAUGGCGGAAUUCCCAGUGUAGAGGUGAAAUUCGUAGAUAUUGGGAAGAACACCAGUGGCGAAGGCGGCCAUCUGGCCCGGUACUGACGCUGAGGCGCGAAAGCGUGGGGAGCAAACAGG
RNAcentral lists this ribosomal RNA (254 nucleotides) under uncultured bacterium. RNAcentral's name for it is "partial 16S ribosomal RNA". It matches the Rfam family "Bacterial small subunit ribosomal RNA", at positions 524 to 776 of the family's 1533-position model. The record is from RNAcentral.